GACGAACGCUGGCGGCGUGCUUAACACAUGCAAGUCGAGCGGUAAGGCCCUUUCGGGGGUACACGAGCGGCGAACGGGUGAGUAACACGUGGGUGACCUGCCCUCAGCUCUGGGAUAAGCCUGGGAAACCGGGUCUAAUACCGGAUAUGACUCCAUGACGCAUGUUGUGGGGUGGAAAGCCUUGUGCGGCUGAGGAUGGGCCCGCGGCCUAUCAGCUUGUUGGUGGGGUGAUGGCCUACCAAGGCGACGACGGGUAGCCGGCCUGAGAGGGCGACCGGCCACACUGGGACUGAGACACGGCCCAGACUCCUACGGGAGGCAGCAGUGGGGAAUCUUGCGCAAGUGGGACGAAAGCCUGACGCAGCGACGCCGCGUGAGGGAUGACGGCC
Molecule: ribosomal RNA, 389 nt
Filed under: uncultured bacterium
Lineage: Bacteria
Description: bacterial SSU rRNA
Rfam family: Bacterial small subunit ribosomal RNA
Source: RNAcentral